GAUGAACGCUGGCGGCGUGCCUAAUACAUGCAAGUCGAGCGAACGGACGAGAAGCUUGCUUCUCUGAUGUUAGCGGCGGACGGGUGAGUAACACGUGGAUAACCUACCUAUAAGACUGGGAUAACUUCGGGAAACCGUAGCUAAUACCGGAUAAUAUUUUGAACCGCAUGGUUCAAAAGUGAAAGACGGUCUUGCUGUCACUUAUAGAUGGAUCCGCGCUGCAUUAGCUAGUUGGUAAGGUAACGGCUUACCAAGGCAACGAUGCAUAGCCGACCUGAGAGGGUGAUCGGCCACACUGGAACUGAGACACGGUCCAGACUCCUACGGGAGGCAGCAGUAGGGAAUCUUCCGCAAUGGGCGAAAGCCUGACGGAGCAACGCCGCGUGAGUGAUGAAGGUCUUCGGAUCGUAAAACUCUGUUAUUAGGGAAGAACAAAUGUGUAAGUAACUAUGCACAUCUUGACGGUACCUAAUCAGAAAGCCACGGCUAACUACGUG
Molecule: ribosomal RNA, 497 nt
Filed under: uncultured bacterium
Lineage: Bacteria
Description: partial 16S ribosomal RNA
Rfam family: Bacterial small subunit ribosomal RNA
Source: RNAcentral